This 1545-nucleotide long non-coding RNA is filed under the name Equus caballus (horse). Its description in RNAcentral is "lncRNA (ENSECAG00000050242.1)". The record is from RNAcentral. Lineage: Eukaryota; Metazoa; Chordata; Mammalia; Perissodactyla; Equidae.
AGCUGAAAUACGCUGAGUGCAGGGGUGAGGGUAGGGGUGGAAGCUGAGGUAUGGAGUUUUAUUUCCUUCUCUACAUAAUUCAGAAAGCACUACUUGUUAGGUCGUUGUGGCCAUGUGAUAAGGCGAUCGACUAGAUAUCCUCUUGGCCAUCCUGGUACAGAUUCUUUCAACUACCAGAGUCUUAAUCUUUGGAGUAAAUAAGUAACAGUUUAAGGCAGAGUGCAGUUUUGGUGGCCACGAUUGAACUCUGACCUGAGAAAACCGCUUCUGCAGUCGCUACUGAAUGGAUUCCUAUUAAGGGAUUUAUGUCAGAUCCUGUGCUGGGUGCUAAGAAAAGGCGUUAAGUAGCCUACAGUCUAGACAUGCUUUUAAACAAGAAUACAUCAAAUCUUUCAGAACGUAUCCAGAAUUUAACCACUUCCACCGACACUACCCAUGAUGCUUUAGCCACCGUCUUCCUGCUUCCCGGAAGAGAGAAAGAGAGAGAAGAAAAAGUCCACAUUCAGAUUUUUGCAGGAUAGAAGAAUCUUUUUGCUAAUAAUCUCCACAUUAAAGAUGAUUGCAAAAUUCAAAAAAAAAUGUAUUUGAGAAAUUCAGCCCAUUUUUAUUAAACUGCUACUAUUUGCCAGAUGUUAUUCUGUGACCAGGGAAAGAAAGACUAUGUAAAAGGCCUCAUUCUGUGCUCCAGAAGCUGCUAAUUUACUAGUCAAGAAAAGCCAAGACCUUUCAUAAGUGAGCCAGGAGGGCCAACGCGCCCAGUGAGUGUAGGAUUUAAGAAAAUCAAGGAAACGCCUCAUGUGUGGACUGCUGACAUUAUCUUCAAACAAGGUGCCUGAGGUCACACAGAUUCACUGACAAGCCUGAAAGAAGCAAUCCAAAAUAUAACUUUAGAUCUGUAUCACGUUAUUAGGCCAAGCACUUUACAGAACAUUAUAAAUUCUAUAAACACCUCGUCCAUAGAAUGAUUUUAAUGCAACAUGUUUUGUGUUGACUCAUCUGUUAAAUUUAAAAAUUGUGAACAGUCACUAUUUUUGUAGUCCUACUGUAGUGUUUGUUUCUUAAGAUGUGGAAGCCUCAAAUAAUAGUAAUGGCCCUGGAGCUCUCUAAACCCCUGAGAAACACCGAGAAAAGCAUUCCUUUCUUCGUUAGAGACAUACUGUCAAAAGUGCUCAAACGUCAUAUUAUAACCAUCAGAGAAAGUACUAGAAGAGCUUGGGAAGGGGGAAAUUGUUAUGCCUGGGGGCCUGCAGAUAUCCACGCAGGAUGGAGAGAAAGAUAUUCGUAGAGACGCUGCCUUUAGGAAGACUGCCUUCCUGGGUGCGGUUUCCGUGACGACAGUCCGGGCCGACAUCCCAAGUACCUCGGGUCUGAAGAUGGUGAAUGUGCAAGGGGAUACCAAAAGGCAAAGACAGCCUUUCCAGACUGGAAAGUGCCAAAGAGAAGAAAAUUGGAAAAGGGCCAUCUGCACACAUCCUGAACCUUAAAUAGUCAUUGAAGCCUAGGGGCCUGUCCCAAAAUCCAGAGAAUAAAAACAUAUGCACCCUC